RNAcentral lists this ribosomal RNA (495 nucleotides) under uncultured bacterium. RNAcentral describes it as "partial 16S ribosomal RNA". It matches the Rfam family "Bacterial small subunit ribosomal RNA", at positions 29 to 507 of the family's 1533-position model. The record is from RNAcentral.
AUGAACGCUGGCGGCGUGCCUAAUCCAUGCCAGUCGAGCGAACAGACGAGGAGCUUGCUCCUCUGACGUUAGCGGCGGACGGGUGAGUACACGUGGAUAACCUACCUAUAAGACUGGGAUAACUUCGGGAAACCGGAGCUAAUACCGGAUAAUAUAUUGAACCGCAUGGUUCAAUAGUGAAAGACGGUUUUGCUGUCACUUAUAGAUGGAUCCGCGCCGCAUUAGCUAGUUGGUAAGGUAACGGCUUACCAAGGCAACGAUGCGUAGCCGACCUGAGAGGGUGAUCGGCCACACUGGAACUGAGACACGGUCCAGACUCCUACGGGAGGCAGCAGUAGGGAAUCUUCCGCAAAGGGCGAAAGCUUGACGGAGCAACGCCGCGUGAGUGAUGAAGGUCUUCGGAUCGUAAAACUCUGUUAUUAGGGAAGAACAAAUGUGUAAGUAACUAUGCACGUCUUGACGGUACCUAAUCAGAAAGCCACGGCUAACUACGUG